ACCUGAUCUUGCCUCACAGAAGACAUCAGGCAAACAUUCCCCGGAUGUGAUGUCUCUCGAAACACUGGAGAACACGUGUGAGCCAGAGGACCUCUUUGAUGACAUCUAACUAUUUGUUGACUGAGAAACUGAGAGAAUAGAGCUCCUACUAGACACAAGCUCUAAAACUUAGAAGGCUUAGUUGUAGACACUAAGAUGAAGUCUUUACUGUAAGGUUGUAUUUGACAUGUGUGCAUUCUUCACUCCACAGUUGCAGACCCUUGACCUGCUGAGGCUUAAUUUGUGACAGCCUUGAAAUCAGUUCAGCUGGUCAGCCUCUGUGUAGAUCUUUUAUCAUCUGUAUAUUGGAAAAGAGAGCAUCACCACAGCAUUUUUACAUCCUAACAAUCUUUGGUUGCUGGUCAUAUUCAGGAUCAACUGGUUUCCAGAUGUCACCAGAGAAUAAGUCAGACAUGAAGAAGACUUAAAUCUACCACUGUACUUACCUUGUAUACUACCGCUUUCUUGUGAGAAGCUCAGCUUAGAUGCAGUCUAGCUAAAUCAUCUUCAACUUUGAUUGGGAUGUCUUCAAAAACUGAGUUUAAAAUGGUAUCAUCUGAAAUGAAACAUCCAAAGAAAUGUCAUUUUGCUUGUUACUUGAAGAUUCUCCGAGGCAUUAUGCAUUGUUUAUAGAAUCAAGCCAAGAACUGAGCAGAAAAUGAUGUGAUGGUGGACAUACCCUGGACUGUGUGAGCACAGGAUUGCAUCAGACACCUGAUGCUGUCUGAUCUUGAAUUUUCUGCUAAUCCGAGAGGUUGGUCAGAAGGAGUAACAAUAACCAGAAACUGCCGUUUACCAGAAUUCUCAGAUCUUGUCAGACAGCUAUAGCAUCAUGAAUGUCAUCUGAGGUGAACUCACAUUCCCAGAUAGCAAGCACUUGUAAUGAGCUAUCUUUGAUCAUCUGUGUAAAAGUCUUGGUCUUAAAGCACUGUGAAAACCCACUGCUGUUUGAUCCAGUGUGAAACUGAAAGACAUUUUGCAAAACAGACAAUAUGGGACAAUAUGAAUAAGACACCAAAGUGUCAGCGCAGAUAUGGUAAACAUCAUUUCUACAGGUAUUCACAAUGGUUAGAGCAAUCCUGUAAAACAAAUAUGUUCAAAAGUAACUUAUAGUUUCAUUUGUAGCAUUCCUUAUGCAAAAUAUCCUGAAAGGGCAUGAUUUGGAAGCUUUGGAUGAGUGAUAGACUUAGAAGAUUGGAACCUUUUCAGUAGGCCUCAGGUAAGAUGCUGAAGACACUCAAAAUCACAGAUUACCUUUGAAUUCCUUGGCUUGACCUUGACUGUGUCAGAACGAAAGCUAACACAAAAGUAAUUAUUAAUUUGUGUGCAAGAAUUGGUGCUCAGUGAAUGUAAAUAAACAUUAUCUUUCUACAGGUCA
Molecule: long non-coding RNA, 1417 nt
Filed under: Apteryx owenii (little spotted kiwi)
Lineage: Eukaryota; Metazoa; Chordata; Aves; Apterygiformes; Apterygidae
Description: lncRNA (ENSAOWG00000011597.1)
Source: RNAcentral